RNAcentral lists this transfer RNA (90 nucleotides) under Alphaproteobacteria bacterium. RNAcentral's name for it is "tRNA-Ser". It matches the Rfam family "tRNA". From Rfam's summary of the family: Transfer RNA (tRNA) molecules are approximately 80 nucleotides in length. The record is from RNAcentral. Lineage: Bacteria; Pseudomonadati; Pseudomonadota; Alphaproteobacteria.
GGAGGGGUGGCCGAGUGGCUUAAGGCGCACGCUUGGAAAGCGUGUUUAGGGUUAAACCUAACGUGGGUUCGAAUCCCAUCCCCUCCGCCA